CAAUAGCGUAUAUUUAAGUUGCUGCAGUUAAAAAGCUCGUAGUUGGAUUUCGGGUGGGAAUGGCCGGUCCGCCGUUUCGGUGUGCACUUGCUACGCCCACCUUGCUGCCGGGGACGUGCUCUUGAGUUCACGCUCGGGACACGGAGUCGGCGAGGUUACUUUGAGUAAAUUAGAGUGUUCAAAGCAGGCCUACGCCCUGAAUACAUUAGCAUGGAAUAACACGAUAGGACUCUGGCCUAUCUUGUUGGUCUGUAGGACCGGAGUAAUGAUUAAGAGGGACAGUCGGGGGCAUUCGUAUUUCAUUGUCAGAGGUGAAAUUCUUGGAUUUAUGAAAGACGAACUACUGCGAAAGCAUUUGCCAAGGAUGUUUUCAUUAA
RNAcentral lists this ribosomal RNA (377 nucleotides) under uncultured eukaryote. RNAcentral's name for it is "partial 18S ribosomal RNA". It matches the Rfam family "Eukaryotic small subunit ribosomal RNA", at positions 592 to 976 of the family's 1831-position model. The record is from RNAcentral.